CUUUGCAUCUUCAAUGAUUCAUCCCGGGAGCCAUAUGAUCUGUCAGAUGAUGACACUAAUUUGCAGAAGAAGUUCACACGUCUAAGGGAUCAUGCAGCUGCACUGCGAAACUACUGUAUAAUCCUGACCUUUCUUUCUUUUGUCUUCACAAGGUUGAAAGCGCUCUUGGUUCUGCUGAAAAGCUUGUGAGAGCAUCACCUGAUGAGCUGUUCCACUACUAGGGUGAUCUUGUUCAAGCACUGGUACAUGUUCGUUGUUCUGAUGUCGUGAUAGAAGGUGAGGAAGAUUUUGCGGAAGAAAAGCGACAGAAGGCAUUAGUCGCCUUGCUGGUAACCAGCCCAUUUGAAUCAUUUUUGCUUUGCAUUUUCUUCAGGAUUUGGUACAUGUGUAUUUUCACAUAAUUUUUAACAAACCAAUUCAUAGAUUCGUUGUAUAUGAAUAACCGACCAAACAAAGACCGGUGAUAAUCAGCGUCAUCCCGGACCUAACGAACAUUUUAGUCUGAAUUUAUCUAACACUAUGGGAAUAGGGUAAAUGAUAACCAAAAGUUAGAAAUCUGACAUUAUGAUUGAUCAUACUAUCUGUAAUCCAUACUCUUCUGCUUUAUGGGAGUUAGUCUGUCGAUCAUCAUGACCAACUGAAAAUAAUUAAACCGGUAGAUCCCGACCUCAAAUGGCGCGAGUGCUCUAUGAAAGCAUGGGAUUUACCCCGCUAAUGUACUUGUAUUAGGACGUUCUCUACACGUUCGGAAUAGAUUAUCAAGAAAAUUUAUCUAAAGUCUGAUCAAAUUCAUUUAGAUUCAGUUUAAUUAUAGUGUCUGUUCAUUUUUUACAUUGAUUUUAUCAUAUUAUAAAAUUGUCAUACCAUAUAGUUCUUAAAACUGCAUAUGUUUUCCUGCUGCAAGUGCCACUGUUGUCACAAUGCUGCAAAGAGACGGUGCAUGGAUGCAUUUUUUAACUCUCAUGAGUGCUUGUAGAAGAAGAAUUGUACAAUGCGGAAAGAUGUUAUUUGCAUCUGCAAAGAGGGAUCAUAUUUGUAGAUUGAUUCCAUAAGAAUCAGGAGCAGGAGCUAAUGGACAGUCAGUGAGCCCCAAGGGCGGUGGCCCCUGCAACAUGAAGAAGACCAUCCAGACAAAGGGGAGGUACACGGAUAGCCAAGGAUGCAAGGAGACGUGCAGGUCUGCGUUUCAGAGUUAUCUCUUUCAGCACCAGCGAUUAAAUGGUCCGUAGCUGGUCAGGCGUGCUUGCAUAAAAUGUACUUUGUUAGUUGCUAGAGCCAUGCUAGCUUUGUAUGUUGUUCUUGCAGCCUCAACUAGCUAAUUCUAUUUAAAGCUAAUGUUGUUCUAUCCUUCCAAUUACUGUUGUUAUUCAGAUUUUUUUCUUUUUUUGUUGUCAUUCAGAGUACAAAUGUUAUGAGAAUUUCAGGAUUUUUGUCAUAUCUCCCAAUUACCUUAAUUUUGUAAGUUGUGUUCUAAUUCAAUUUUGAUUUCCUUUCACAAUAGCCUACUUUAAAGCUGUGUGAAUCCAUUAUUUUCCUUUUGAGUUUGCUGUAGAGCAGUGGAGGCGAGUUGGGAACCUUUUUUUUUAACUUGGUGGAUGUACUGUUGUAGCGAUGGAGAUUUGCCUGAAUGUUGCUUUCCUCCGCGUGAAGUGCCUAGAAUUCUCGAAGGCGUCAACAAGACCCGAAGGAGAUUGACAAAGUAUUGACAAGGUUUGGUUGCAUCAACGAAUUGAUUUAAGACAAGAUAACAAUGGGAACCAUUGUCCUAAAGUCAGCUGGAUCAUCAAAGUUCUCUGUGCAGCAAAGCCUGAUAGGCGUGUUGGAUGUUGCUGCAUGUCUCAGCCAACAGAGUGAUGAUACUGCUGUUGGAUCUCCAGCAACAUGCUACCAUAGCUCUUCGGGAAGCAAAAAGCUGAGAAUUGGCAGAUGACCGAUCUCAUGUUGUGAUGUGCUUUAGGUGUGUUGCUCACCGUUCUGGCUGUUUUGUUGUUUCAAACAUCUCAAUUUAGUUUGGUCAUUCGAGAACUAUAGCGUGGUCAAGUGUAUUGACUUUGUCGUUCAGCUCUCCGCUUGAGAUUAUUUUAGUUCUGAUUUACUUUCAUUUACUUUGUUUUGCAAGUAGCAUGUCCUUAGCGUGCCACCGUGUCAGUACAAUGCCAGUUUUUGUGUUUCAUAUAAUGCUUAAUUACAGUUGAUUGUA
Triticum aestivum (bread wheat) is the source of this 2200-nucleotide RNA transcript. RefSeq lists it as uncharacterized. The transcript is spliced from 3 exons. Lineage: Eukaryota; Viridiplantae; Streptophyta; Magnoliopsida; Poales; Poaceae. The record is from RefSeq and is a predicted model, not a curated record.